CAGUCGCGUUCUCUGGGAUUCAGCCUUGCUUUUGCUUGGUGCAUUUCCUAGUCUACGGGCCAGCAUGGAUUUCGACCGUCGGAAAAGGGCUGGGGGAAUGUGGCACUUUCGGGUGUGUUAUAGCCCCCUGUCGCACACGUCGGUUGGGAUCAAGGACCUCAGUGCACGCUUCGGUUGUGCUUUGAUGCUGGCUAAUGGCUUAAACGCCGUUUGAAACACGGACCAAGGAGUCUAACAUAUGUGCGAGUGUU
RNAcentral lists this ribosomal RNA (251 nucleotides) under Acaulospora kentinensis. Lineage: Eukaryota; Fungi; Glomeromycota; Glomeromycetes; Diversisporales; Acaulosporaceae. The record is from RNAcentral.